UACAGAGGUCUCAAGCGUUGUUCGGAUUCAUUGGGCGUAAAGGGUGCGUAGGUGGCUUGGUAAGUCGGAUGUGAAAUCCCGGGGCUCAACCCCGGAACUGCAUUCGAUACUGCUGCGCUAGAGUACUGGAGAGGAGAUUGGAAUUUACGGUGUAGCAGUGAAAUGCGUAGAUAUCGUAAGGAAGACCAGUGGCGAAGGCGGAUCUCUGGACAGUUACUGACACUGAGGCACGAAGGCCAGGGGAGCAAACGGG
RNAcentral lists this ribosomal RNA (253 nucleotides) under uncultured bacterium. RNAcentral describes it as "partial 16S ribosomal RNA". It matches the Rfam family "Bacterial small subunit ribosomal RNA", at positions 524 to 776 of the family's 1533-position model. The record is from RNAcentral.